RNAcentral lists this ribosomal RNA (1161 nucleotides) under Triticum aestivum (bread wheat). RNAcentral describes it as "partial small subunit ribosomal RNA". Lineage: Eukaryota; Viridiplantae; Streptophyta; Magnoliopsida; Poales; Poaceae. The record is from RNAcentral.
AUGGCGUCGCCGGCCGCAUGCGCAUACUCGUGUCUUGGGCCGGCGGCGAGGGUUUGCACCGCGCCACGGCGGCGUCCGGCCUCCCCCUUCUCCCCGCUCGCCGCCCCUGCUCGCGUACGUCUACCGCGAACGGCGCCGCGCUCCCUGUCCAUGUCACUGUCGGCGCUGCGCCCGCUCGUGCACCGCUGCUAUUCUGAUCCCGAGAGCGCGCCUCGGAGCGAUCCGGUCGUCGACGACCACUCCGAUGUCGUGGACGUGGACCACACCGACGAAACCUAUGCCGGUUUGGUUCUGGGCGGCCCGGCCGUCGAGGAGCCCCGCGAGCGCGCGGCCACCACGGUCGUCGGCGAGCGCGUGGACGACGAAGACCAUCACGAUGUCGUGGCCAUGGUCCUCGGCGAUGGCACCGACGCCUUGGUUCUGAGCGGCCCGGCCGUCGAGGAGACCCGCGAGCUCGCGGCCACCACCCUCCAUGGCGAGGGCUCGCACGACGACGUGGACGACUGGGGCGACCUCGACGACGUCGUGUAUCCCGUGGGGCUGACCGUCGGGGAGAUCAAGGAGUUCAAAAACACGGACUUCAGCCGGGCCGCCAUCAACGAGCGGUUCCGGCGCGAGUCCAAGGAGGCGAAGGCGGCCGUGAUAGGCGCCGUCACCGGCGUGGUCCGCCCACUCCGGGAGCUCCUCGACGACCUGAGGAGCCUCAAGAGCGUCUUCGACACCCAGGAGUUCCACAUCGGCGUGCCCUUCGGCGCCAUCAUGGCGUGUAUGGGGAUGUACCAACUGUGGAAGCUUAGUCCCUCCACGUGCAUCGAGAUUGCCAUGUACUACGCCUUCUACAAGCUCAGCGCCAUCGCGGCCAACGUCCGGCGGCGGGGCUUCUCCCCCGACUGGAUAAUCCGGAUUAAACUCGGUAUAAUCAUCGCUCUACUUGUCAAAUAUCGUAGCAAAAGCACUGUGCCCCUUGGUGAUUAUAUCAGGGUAGCGAUCUUCAUCGUCUAUUUUAUUUCGGUGGGGUGCGACGUGCUGGGUAUGAAGAAACAUAUGAGAAUGGUUCUCCCUAUGGUCCUCGAGAUGGUAAAACAUCCAAUGGCAACGACAAUACGGUGCAAACGAGUGAAAGCUACAGGAGGGGUUGAAUAUUGCGAGAUCGAAAGAUAG